Non-coding RNA from Erinaceus europaeus (western European hedgehog), 126 nucleotides. The record is from Rfam. NCBI's taxonomy places the organism in Eukaryota, Metazoa, Chordata, Mammalia, Eulipotyphla, Erinaceidae.
AUCUACGGCCAUACCACCCUGAACAUGCCAACACGCCCGAUCUCGUCUGAUCUUGGAAGCUAAGCAGGAUAGGGCCUGGUUAGUACUUGGAUGGGAGAGAGAGAGAGACAUCUGCUGACCUGAUUU